RNAcentral lists this long non-coding RNA (2314 nucleotides) under Homo sapiens (human). RNAcentral's name for it is "long independently transcribed non-coding RNA 2859 (LINC02859)". The record is from RNAcentral. Lineage: Eukaryota; Metazoa; Chordata; Mammalia; Primates; Hominidae.
AUCACUCCUGAUACUGGUGAGCCACUGAACCAACACCGGCCACUGACUACCUCCAGAUUUCUUUUUAUUUGGAAACUAUGCAAACUGUUGGAAAAAACUGGAAUUGACUGGCUGUGUUUGGUUUGGACAACUCAUCGAAAUGAGAGGGAGCCCAGCACGAGUUCUGCUUGAGUGAUGUCUGAAAAUCUGGCCUCUCAGUCUACCUUAAAAGCCUACCUAUUUGGCUUUCACUAGAGUUCAGAUACAUAAAACAAAUAUCUUUGCUUUGGCUUCCCUUGAGUCAUAUCAAUCUACACCUCAUCAAGAAUAUGAAGUUUGGAAGAACAAAGAAGCAAUUGAGCAUCCUAAACUCAACGUAGGGCAAGUAACAUGGACAUUGAUACACCAAGUUCCUUCUUGUUUUUCCUUGAAAGUUGGCUUGAUGAAUGUAUUCUGCAGGGAUUUUAAAGGUGUGGAAAUGAAGCAGACAUCAAGGACUGCUGCAGUUUACUGGGGGUCCACUCCAGACCUUAGUUGCUUCAGUUUUUCCCUGUACCUGGAGGUAUCGUCAGUGAAGCCUGCAAAACAGCAAAGAUGGCAGCCUGCUCCUUCCUCUGGAAGCUCCAUCCCAGGGAUGCACUGACCUGUUGCCAGAAGGAACAUGCCUGUAGGAGGUGGCUGGAGACCCCUGCUGGGAGGUCCCACCCACUCGGGAGGAAUGGGAUCAGGGACCCACCCCAAGAAGCCCUCUGGCUGCCCUUUGGUAGAGUAGGUGCCAGGAGACCCUUCCUUGCCUGGACCAUUUGUAUUUUCCAAAGUUGGCAGGCUGGAAUGGCUGAGUUUACCAAACUGCAGAGAUGACAGCUGCUCUUCCCCUGUGAGCUUCAUUCCAGGGAGAGAUCAGAACUUUGUCUGUAGAACCCUUGCUUGUGUGGCUGAAGCCCCUGCAGGGAGGACUUGCCCAGUGAAGAGGAAUAGAUUGAGGUACCGCUUAAAGAAGCAGUCUGGCCAUGAUCUGGCAAGGCAGCUGUGCUGUGCUGCAGGGAACCUCUCCUUGCUCGAACUUCUUGUAUUCUUCAAAGCUAGCAGGCUGAAACCAAUAAAUUUAAAUUUAAAUAGGUAAAAAUAAGUAAAUAAAGAUAAAGAAAAAUAAAUUGACUGAUUUAUUCUGCCUUCAGGAGCUCUUAGAUGAUGUAGGAAAACAAAUAAUACUGUACAAUCAAAGUCGAAAUUCCUUAAGCAGAGGGUCUUAUGAGAACACAAAGGGAAGGCAACUGGAGCUUUACAGAUGACUUCCUAGACUAGAGAUACCUGAUGUGGGUCUUUAGGGUUAAGUCAUUAAUAGCAAGGCCAAGUAGAGGAAGAGCAUAUCCUACAGAGAAAAAAAGAAUAAGCAAAGGCUGGCUGUUGAGAGAAUUGCAAGUGCUUAGUAUGACUAUAGCGGUAGUCUCAACAGGAGCAGGACAUCCUUAGGGGAUGUUUUGAAAAAUUUUUGUGGAAUUUUCUUGGUCCCAGUAAUUAGUAAGCACUAUUAGCCUUAAAAUGAUAAAGGGCCACUGAGCUAGAUGUUCUGCAAUGGGCAAGACAAUUGCACACAAUGAAAAAUUGUCCCAAGUUCAAGUUUGGACAAGUUAGGGAUGUCCCUCCAGGCAUUUUUGUCAAUGAAAAACCUCUUUGUAACUGUCUUGGCAUAGAGCCUAACUCCAUAUAUACAUAUAACACAAAAUAUUUUUGCACAGUUUUAAUAUACACUAAAUUUUCCAGGGACACAAUUACAUAAAUUAAGGAAAGAUCAUGCUUUGCUGUGUUUGGAACUUAUCAAGAGUCAUUCACCAUUCUAGAAAAUAGCAUCAAAGAUGCAAUAUAGCUCUUGGUGUCUGAGUUGCCAGUUCAGCCAUCUGUGUCAAUCUGUAUUUGUAGAUAUUGCAGUCAAGGUGAUAUUAUUUUUAAGCAAAAGUGUCUGACAACUUUAUUAAGUUCCCCAAUGUAGCUGUGCCAUAGCAUUUUAGAUUAUUUUAAAUUGUAUAUUACUUUCCUUUUAUUUUUCCUCUAAUGAUAGAUACUUAGGGCAUUUUUUUUAAAAACCCAAUGAGAAGACAGGUUAUUUUAUCUAUGAGUUUCAUUUCAGGAUAGUAAAAGUGUAUUACAAAAUGCUGGUUGUAACAACGGGGACAUUAGGUUGCAAAGGACAGAAUGGGCUGGUAUGUCAGUAGCAUCUCUUUCCCCAAAGACCUCAGUUGUGACAUGUGAAACUCUAAUUGCUAUGUGAUGUUUCCAGUUGUAAGGGCCUGAUUAUGGUUUAAUGCUUGCUGGAAAAAUAAAUGAGCAAAAUCAA